UUGAAGGCGUGGAGACUGAAGUCCUCUGGUAUAUCCACAGAACAGGUAUGGCACAGGCAGCGGCAGUGCAGCUUUUCCACUGUCCCACCAAUGUGCCUCGGUCCUAGCCUAGGGGGAAUAUGUUCAGGGUAAGAGGGCUGUUCAGUCUCCAUGCCCUUCAAUCUGUGGCUAUU
This 173-nucleotide small RNA is filed under the name Carlito syrichta (Philippine tarsier). RNAcentral's name for it is "TUC338 (ENSTSYG00000025415.1)". It matches the Rfam family "TUC338". The record is from RNAcentral. Lineage: Eukaryota; Metazoa; Chordata; Mammalia; Primates; Tarsiidae.